RNAcentral lists this ribosomal RNA (500 nucleotides) under uncultured bacterium. RNAcentral's name for it is "partial 16S ribosomal RNA". It matches the Rfam family "Bacterial small subunit ribosomal RNA", at positions 30 to 523 of the family's 1533-position model. The record is from RNAcentral.
AUUGAACGCUGGCGGCAUGCUUUACACAUGCAAGUCGAACGGCAGCACGGACUUCGGUCUGGUGGCGAGUGGCGAACGGGUGAGUAAUACAUCGGAACGUGCCCAGUUGUGGGGGAUAACUACUCGAAAGAGUAGCUAAUACCGCAUGAGAACUGAGGUUGAAAGCAGGGGAUCGUAAGACCUUGCGCAACUGGAGCGGCCGAUGGCAGAUUAGGUAGUUGGUGGGAUAAAAGCUUACCAAGCCGACGAUCUGUAGCUGGUCUGAGAGGACGACCAGCCCUACUGGGACUGAGGCACGGCCCAGACUCCUACGGGAGGCAGCAGUGGGGAAUUUUGGACAAUGGGCGAAAGCCUGAUCCAGCAAUGCCGCGUGCAGGAUGAAGGCCUUCGGGUUGUAAACUGCUUUUGUACGGAACGAAAAGCUUCGGGUUAAUACCCUGGAGUCAUGACGGUACCGUAAGAAUAAGCACCGGCUAACUACGUGCCAGCCGCCGCCGUAA